GCCCAGUUUCCUUCAUCUUCUUGAAGAUGUCCUCGGCAUCUGGAGGAGGCGAAUCGAUGCUUUUUCCUUCUUUAGUAUUAGUAGCAGCGCUAGCAUUUAGACGAGGAGAAUCGAUGCUUUUUUCUUCUUUAAUAUUAGCAGUAGCACUAGCAGCAGUAGGAUUGUUUGGUAGGGGGAUUUCGCUGUCCUUGUUUCUGUCAAGGCGGAGCUUGAAUUUCUCGAGAAAAGCAUCAUCUGAUGGGUGAUGUUGAUGUUGAUGUUGAUUGGUAUUUCUAGGCGAGCCAGAGAGCUUAACAUUUCUGGGUCCUCUCGGAGUAGGGUAAGACUCAGACCGAGAAUUGUACGAGGGCCUCUCGCCCCUGUCGCCUCUUAAGGGUCUGUUUGGUAUGGGAUGAGGCGGAUUCUGGACUUCUCUUGCAUCAUUAUCUUCAUCAUUGGAAUUGAAAUUGGAACCGAAACCAGUUGUCGGCUCUCGCUUGUAACUAAAAUGGCGUAGAUUUUUGGAAACGAAGCUGGCAAACUGGGAAUGGGGCUUCACUCUAAUGAGCUUCAAUGAUCGACUGUGCGAGGACGCCAUUGUUGAAUAGAAUGAAGGGAUGGAUCCUGCUUCUGCAC
Molecule: unclassified non-coding RNA, 615 nt
Filed under: Hevea brasiliensis (rubber tree)
Lineage: Eukaryota; Viridiplantae; Streptophyta; Magnoliopsida; Malpighiales; Euphorbiaceae
Source: RNAcentral